GACGAACGCUGGCGGCGUGCUUAACACGUGCAAGUCGAACGGUGAAGGGACCAGCUUGCUGGUUCUGGAUGAGUGGCGAACGGGUGAGUAACACGUGAGUAACCUGCCCCCUUCUUCUGGAUAACCGCAUGAAAGUGUGGCUAAUACGGGAUAUUCUGGGUCUGUCGCAUGGCGGGCCCGGGAAAGAUAUUGCUUCGGUGGGGGAUGGGCUCGCGGCCUAUCAGCUUGUUGGUGGGGUGAUGGCCUACCAAGGCGGUGACGGGUAGCCGGCCUGAGAGGGUGGACGGUCACACUGGGACUGAGACACGGCCCAGACUCCUACGGGAGGCAGCAGUGGGGAAUAUUGCACGAUGGGCGCAAGCCUGAUGCAGCGACGCCGCGUGAGGGAUGGAGGCCUUCGGGUUGUAAACCUCUUUCGCCAGUGAAGCAGGCCUGCUCCUUGUGGGUGGGUUGACGGGAGCUGGAUAAGAAGCGCCGGCUAACUACGU
RNAcentral lists this ribosomal RNA (488 nucleotides) under uncultured bacterium. Its description in RNAcentral is "partial 16S ribosomal RNA". It matches the Rfam family "Bacterial small subunit ribosomal RNA", at positions 28 to 506 of the family's 1533-position model. The record is from RNAcentral.